This 495-nucleotide ribosomal RNA is filed under the name uncultured bacterium. Its description in RNAcentral is "partial 16S ribosomal RNA". It matches the Rfam family "Bacterial small subunit ribosomal RNA", at positions 28 to 507 of the family's 1533-position model. The record is from RNAcentral.
GACGAACGCUGGCGGCGUGCCUAAUACAUGCAAGUAGAACGCUGAAGGAGGAGCUUGCUCUUCUGGAUGAGUUGCGAACGGGUGAGUAACGCGUAGGUAACCUGCCUGGUAGCGGGGGAUAACUAUUGGAAACGAUAGCUAAUACCGCAUAACAGUAGAUGUUGCAUGACAUUUACUUAAAAGGUGCAAUUGCAUCACUACCAGAUGGACCUGCGUUGUAUUAGCUAGUUGGUGGGGUAACGGCUCACCAAGGCGACGAUACAUAGCCGACCUGAGAGGGUGAUCGGCCACACUGGGACUGGGACACGGCCCAGACUCCUACGGGAGGCAGCAGUAGGGAAUCUUCGGCAAUGGACGGAAGUCUGACCGAGCAACGCCGCGUGAGUGAAGAAGGUUUUCGGAUCGGAAAGCUCUGUUGUAAGAGAAGAACGAGUGUGAGAGUGGAAAGUUCACACUGUGACGGUAUCUUACCAGAAAGGGACGGCUAACUACGUG